GCCGGAAUAGCUCAGUAGGGAGAGCGUUAGACUGAAGUUGUUUACGCAUCUAAAGGUCUUCCCGGUUCAAUCCCGGGUUCCGGCA
Molecule: transfer RNA, 85 nt
Filed under: Dreissena polymorpha
Lineage: Eukaryota; Metazoa; Mollusca; Bivalvia; Myida; Dreissenidae
Rfam family: tRNA
About the family: Transfer RNA (tRNA) molecules are approximately 80 nucleotides in length. Their secondary structure includes four short double-helical elements and three loops (D, anti-codon, and T loops). Further hydrogen bonds mediate the characteristic L-shaped molecular structure. tRNAs have two regions of fundamental functional importance: the anti-codon, which is responsible for specific mRNA codon recognition, and the 3' end, to which the tRNAs corresponding amino acid is attached (by aminoacyl-tRNA synthetases). tRNAs cope with the degeneracy of the genetic code in two manners: having more than one tRNA (with a specific anti-codon) for a particular amino acid; and 'wobble' base-pairing, i.e. permitting non-standard base-pairing at the 3rd anti-codon position.
Source: Rfam by way of RNAcentral